ACAGUGGCUGCUAAAUUAUUUGCGCCUUGCACUUUGAUCAAUAUAUAAAAAUUAAAAUUAAAAUAAAUAGAAGAAAAGAUCAUUAAUUCUAGGACUCUCACUUGCAGAUAAAUGAGGAAAUAACUAGAAAGUACUAAAAUUAACGAGAAACUUUUCCCGUCAUUUUUCAUUCUAUACGACAAGCCCACCUCCUCCUCCUUUUUUUUUUUGGUAGAUUGUCUCUGGAAAGUGAAAUUUAACGCCACCCAGUUCUCACUGUUAGAAGACAGAGAUCUUACCACCAUAAGGUCCUUGAUAGUUUCAUCCUUAUAGUACUCAGGUUCUGAUUCUUGCAGUGUUAGCAAAACCUCAAUCAUGGUCUUGUAAUUUCUCUCAUUAGAAAAACAGCUCUUGUUAUUCCCCAUUCUUCUCCUAUGCUCAUCAACCAACUCUUGCAGAAACCCAUCUCUCUUUUCCUGCAACUUCAUCAACCUCUUCUCCGUUCCUCCUAUCACAGCGAACACAUGUAAGAAGUCUCCCACAGCUGAUGCGCCACUGACCUGGAAAGUCUCUGUCACGAUCUCUCGAAAUCUCCUCCCCUCCUCCACUUCAGCCUCGUUUUCACCGUAAUAUCUCUUUCCAGCUGUCAUCCUCAUCAUCACAUUUAGCAUGAGCUCGAAAAAUGACGAUUUCAAAUCUAUGAUCUCAUCGUUGUUUUUGAAAAGACGGCGAAUCAAAAACUUGACCUCUUCCGUGCGUAUGCUAGAAAACAACUGGAGACGGUUAGAGGAUAAGAUUUCAAGGGAGGAGAUUUUACGAAGAUUGCGCCAAAGGUCACCAUGUGGUGCCCAUGAAAGGGUCGUGUAGUUGCGGCCCAAGUGUUUUCCUGCAAGUAGGUGUGGACGAUUGGCAAAGACAAUAUCAUUCUUGGUAAAACAUUCUUCUGCAGCUGAAGGGGAGGAAACUACAAGAACACGACGGGAGCCAAGCUGUAGGAGUACUACAGGGCCGUGCCUGUUUGAUAUCUUGGAUAGGGAUCGGUGGAGGGGUUUCUUGAGGAGAUGGAGAUGGCCUAUUAUGGGGAGAGCAGGGAAUGGGCUUGGUGGGAGGUUUUGGAUCUUGUUGCGGAAGUGUUUGGUAAGUACAUAGAGAACUAGAUAGAGGAGCAGAAAGUGCAAGAACAUGGUGGUUUACUGUUUAUACAAGAACAGACUAGCUCUGUCAAGACCGGAGAUUGUUAUGCUGGUUGGGGUUGCAAACAAGCAGAUAUAUAACACAUUUUAGCCUGCCUAGACACGGAAUUAAGGAGAUAUUUCCUUAAUGAAAAAGAUAGGUUCCGAAAGAAAGUUUCUACCAUUCAUUAAUAAUCAAUAAUCGAUCUUGACCCACCACCUCUUCCCGCAAAGUCGUCUUCCAUAACAGAUCUGGACCAACCACCUAUUCCCCUAUCUUUGUUUUACGGUUAAAAAUUGUUUUUAAGAAUCUUUAAUUUUUUUAAAUUAAUUUUAUUUAUAUUUUUUAUUGUUUUAAUGUAUUACUGUUAAAAAUUAAUUUUAAAAAAUAAAAAUAUAUAUUAUUUUAAUAUAUUUUUAAAUAAAAAAUACUUUAAAGAAGUUGAGAAACUCUAUUUCUGUCAACAUGUUGCUCCUUCUCAUUUCAUAACGUUACGGCAGAGCUAGAAAGGUUUUUCAAUGGGAUCAACUAACGGUUUCUAAAAUCAAAAUCACGACUAAGUAUUAGUGGUGGCGACUAAUUUUUAUUUAUAUUUUUUGUUUCCAAACCAUUUUAUCGUUUGAAACGACUGUCCAUGACAAAUAGGUUACCAUAAUGUUAUUUAACGAUAAAGUCUUAUAUUUUUUAAUUAUAUUUAAUUUUUAUAUUUUAAAUGUGACAUAAAAUAAAAUUGUUAGUUAUGCCGGAUUCUUUAUACUAAUAUAUAACAUAUUUCAUCACAGGGGAUGCUAAUUAAAAAGAAAGUCUUCUUAAGUUUUCAGAUAUCAGCGUACGUGAGCUAUAUAUUUUUAUUUUUCCCUCGCAAGAAAACCAAAAAAGAAAAUUCCAAUUUGAAAAGGAAGGUUCAUCGUGGAGCCCUGGGCACAGUAAACCAGCUCCCUCUUUCAUGUCCACCAUUUGCUUUGCCUGUCCUCUCGUCUCCCGUUCAAAGCAUUGAAGCAGCGACCCCAAGGCUAUGCCGAAAACUGCAAGCGUGAGAAACUAUAGACCAAAACAACGAAGUGUCGUCAGGUUUGAGAGAGUUGAUUCACCAUUGCGGGGCGUGGUCUACAUUUUGCCCACAAAUUUUGGGCCUUAGGCAUUGUGAGCCCAGUUCCUUCACUCAUGUCCACAAGUUCCCCACAGACUCUCUCCCACUCGAAACACUGAAUAAGAGAUCCUAAAGCCAGCCCAAUUAUCCUUGUAGCUAAGCCCUCCCCUGGACAGCCUCUCCUCCCAGCCCCGAACGGUAAAUAUAUGAACCCAUCUCUUUUUCCCUCUGGGCCAUGAAACCUUUCUGGCUUAAACUUUGUGGGCUCCUCCCAUAAGUUGGGAUCAUUGUGUACAGACCGCAUAUUCACUAAGAGCAUGGUGCCUCGUGGGACUCGAAAACCUCCAACAGUGCACUCCUCUGAUGACUCAUGGGGCGGGAGCAGUGGGGCGGGAGGGUACAUUCGGAGAGUCUCUUUGAUGAUGCCUUGGAGAUAGGGAAGCUUGAGAAGGUCUGAUUCUUCCAAUAAUGGUAUCAAUUUCGAUCUGGGCCUUCAUCAAGGCCUGUGGAUUGUUCAGCAAGAGUGACAAUGCCCACUCCAUGGUCCCAGCUGAGGUGUCCGUCCCCGCAGAUAAGAUUACCUGUGUUAGAAUAUUAAGCAAAACGAAGAUGAAUGGGCCUCGUUAACUUUUGAGUGCUACAUCAAUUGACAAGCUUAAAGGGCUAGCCUGCCAGGCACGCCACAUCACGAGAGAAUUUUACUUGCAUAUCAACGGCAACCAAUUCGUCUUUAAAUGUAUGAAGCAAUGAACACUCGUUUUCCGGGAAAAAUCUCAAAGACUAGUUAUCUCUAAUUAAUUUGCUUGUUUAAUUGGGAAAUAUGAAUUGGUAGUCACGAUUUGAAAUAUCUGUGAAUCAAAACUCUUGUGCAAGUUUCAAUUGUAAUAUCCGAUAAGAAAAAGGCAUAGCCACCAGUUUUAUUCAAAUGGUCAAUUACGGCACUAGCACAAGAGGUCCACUGAAUCUAUAUUAUUGAUGGAGUUAAAUAAAAUAUUCAAACCAGAAGAGAUAAUUCAAGAUUGUGAUUUUCUUAGGGAUUUGGAGAGCUUACUGUCAUUAGGCCUCUGAUUAAUUCAUCGGUAUAAUACUCAGGUUCAGUUUCUUGCAAGGUUAGCAGGACAUUAAUCAUGGUUUUACUGCUCCCUUGAUGUGAAGCAAACUCGCUCUUAACUUUUCUAUGCUCUAGAAUCAAGUCUUGAACGAAUUCAUCCCUCUUUCUAUGCAAUAUAGCCAACCUUUUCUCAAUAUUAUUCAAUCCAAUCCAUUUCAAUGCUGGCACAAAAUCUCCAAUAUUCGUAGCUCCACUUAAUUCAAAGGUCUCUCUCACAAUUUCUUUAAACUGCCUUGCUUCGCCCAAUUCUGCUAGAUCCUCUCCAUAAUAUCGCUUUCCGGCAAUCAUCCGCGUAAUGACAUUAAGUGUCAGAUCGAAAAAAGUUGACUUGGCAUCAAUUGACAUGAACUCACCACCCCUGCAACCUUUAAAAAGCUUAUGAACCAAUAACCUGACCUCAUCAGCACGUAUAUGAUAGAACAUCUUCAGGCGAUUGGUUGAUAAGAUUUCAAGAGCAGCUAUGCGCCUUAAGUUGCGCCAGUGGUUUCCAUAUGAGGCCCAAGUAAGCGUGGUAUAGUUAUAUCCAAGAUGUUUUCCAGCAAGCAGCCGAGGUCGAUUUGCAAAAAUUAUGUCAUUUUUAGAUAAGCACUCCUCUGCAACUGAAGGGGAUGAUACGAGGAUGACAGGACGAGAGCCAAAUUGAAUGAAUAGAAUUGGACCAUAUUUGUUGGAAAGAUUGGCAAGAGUUUGAUGGAGGGGUUUCUUGAUGAGAUAGAGAUGACCAAUAAUUGGUAGAGAGAGGCCUGGACUCGGUGGAAGGUUCUUGCUGAUUUUGCAUAGGUGUUUUGAGAGGAAAUAGAACAUCAAGAAGAGCAUGAAGCAGGAGUAGAAUGAGAUUUCCAUGAAGAGAGUUACCAAUAUUUUCUGUAAUUCAGAAACUCUCAAUAGUUCAGGUCUUCAGGGCCUUUAUUCAUGCAUCGCACUUCAGCCUUCUUUGCAUAUAAGACAGAAGCAGGAGGAGAAAUAGAAUUUAACUAGGUUAUUGAUUGUUCCGCGUUGGAUGCGGGUCGGACAAUUGUUUUUUAAAACAUGAAAAAUGUAUACAUUGUCGAAGUAUUUUUUUAUUUUCAAGAAAAAUUUUGAUUAUAAACUCAAUCAUUUAAUGUACAAAGUAAAGUAUUUUUUUAAAAAAUAUCCAAGCUAACUCGUCAAAUUCGUAGCUUAGGCCAUUCGAUCAGAAUAAUCCAAUAGAAAAGAAAAAUAAAAAAAAUCUCAAAGCUCUUUUUUUUUUAAUUAAAAAAAAAACAUUGUUGAGUGAUGAAAGCUGCAAAUAAGAUACAUAAAAAACAAACAAAAAAUGUCAGCUCGCGUUAACUUUUCAAACUCAUGACUUGAGUCAUUAAAUCAGAAAUACGCCAUCUAGAAAAACUAAAAAGUUCAAUUCUCAACCAAUCAAAUAUUGAAAGAUAAAAUUGAAAAAAAAGAUUCAAUUAUACAAAAAGGAUCCAAAAAAUAACAAUUAAAAGAAUAAGGAUCAAAAUAAAAAUAAAAAAUAAAUCUACUUUUUAUGGAAGGGUGAAAUUGAAAAGAAAAUAAAAUUAACAAAGGGACCCAAAAGAGAGAAAAAAAGAGUAAAAAAGAAUGAGGAUCGAAAUUGAAAUAAAAAAUAAAAACAAAAUUUUGAUUGAAUGGUUAAAUUAAAAAAAAUCAAUUUAACAAAAAAACAAAAAAAAAACAAUCAAACAAUGAAAAUCACAUUGAAAAAAAUAAUAUAUCAUAAUUUGGGAUUAAAGGAUGUAAUUAAAAACAAAACAAAUUUUAAUAAAAAAAUAAAAAAUAAAUAAUGAUCAACUUUGAAAUCUUAAAACAAUAGAGGAAAACCCUGAAAUUUUGCAUGGGCAACAUGGUUUUUGAAGGGAGGAAAGAGAAAAGUGAGGGGAAAGAAAAAAAAAUUACCAACGACGAACUGUAUCAUAAACAACAAUACGUGUCGUCUUAUAAGAAACAUAAUGAAUCGUCGCAUCUAAUGACAUGGUGAAAGUUGUUUUUUGACUGGCAGGAGGCGCUGUACUCACCGCCUGAAAGGCGUGAUCACCUCACUAGUACUAACUACUUUUUGUUAUUUUUUAUUAUAUUUUAUAUUUAUGAAAAUUCUAAAUUUUCCUUUAGCUCAUUUUAAUAUCGAAAGAAAUAAUGUGAAAUGAUAAAGUAUUCUUGGAUGUCAGUUUUUGUAUUUUUUUAUUUUAAGAACAAUUUGUUUUACUAUAUUUUCAAAUUAAAAAAAAGGCCUUUUACCUCUAAAAUAUCUAAAAAUAACUAAUAAACCUUAUAUAAAUACCGAACUACCUCCAGUUGCUAGUUUCAAGAUUUUUGGUGGGAAGGCAACAACCAUUGCUACGUUGUUCUAAUAAUGGUUCCAAGGAUUAUUAGCUUGUGUUUAAUAAUGGUGAAUUGUACACGAGCCUUCAGCUACUGAAGUUACAUUUACCUUGAAGCAAUGUGAGGGCUGUAAUAAGUUCAAGGAAGUGUCGGUGAUUGCGGUAGAAAUUAAUUUUUAAAAUAUUUUUUAUUAAGAAAUAUAUUAAAAUAUUAUUUUUUAAAAAAAAAAUUAUUUUUAACAUUAACAUAAUAAAAAAUAAUAAUUGUUUUCAAAAAUAUUUUUAAAAUUUAAAUGAUGCUGGUUGCAAUUUGACACGUGUCACUUCACUUUUUUGGAGAAACAACACAAAGAAAUGAGCCAAUUUCAGACUGAUAAAAUCUGUGUAGAAUGGGCUCGAUAAAGACAAAUAGUCAGCAGACAAUAAACAGAUCAAGGCGCGAGCCAGCCAAGCCGGACACAUAUAGACUAGACAUGCAGAAAUUACAGUUGCAAAUUGGACAACUAUAUGCGAUAUUUGUUUGCUUGCAAUUGUUCCUUGCAAUGUUUCCUGAAUCUGCCAAGCUAUUGUUCGAGUAAUGGGUGGGUCCGGGAUCGAAGUCACAUAUCCUCUAAGAAGUUCCAAAAUCAUUCCGUAUUUGAUAUGGAUCGUCCUUCACUAAAAGUAGAGAAUGAUAGGCAUUAGGCUGAAGUUUCUGCUGAACAAAUGUUCUUGGAAAGUUGAGGAUACUCCAACGCCUAAAUUAGCAAGAGAAUGAUAGCACGUAAGCAAGCUUGAAGAAUUGCAGUUUAGGGUGUCUUGCAGAGCUUGAGUACGCCAAGAAUAAAAAAGAAGGUUGAAGAAGAUGAAGUUCAUAAUCCUUUACCCAGAACUAAUGGCUGUUUAUGUUGGGGAAUUUCCGGCUCCCCCAUGCUCGGACCGGGGAUGUUCUGAUACUUGCUCAUCGGAGGGUUAAAACACACUGACACAAUAUUUUACGUGGUUCGGCAAAACCGCCUACAUCCACGGGAGAGAGAGUCCAUAUUAUUUAGAGAUAGAGAAAGGAUACAAUAAAUACAUGGAGGAGGAUCACUCAACUCCCAGCUCACACACCCUGCUGCAUAUGGCAGCAGGGCUGCUGCCCAUGGCAGCAACUCCUCUUUCUCUUCUUCUCUUCACGUUCUCACACACUCUCACUUCUCUCACACACACUCUCACAAAACAUGCCUCUUUUAUAGGCAAUUCUUGGCAACCUUCUCCAGCAAUAGCAAGGGGACAAUAGGUCCCGAAAUCAUGCCACUAAUUGUGGCAUUAGUGAUGCUUCCACUAAGCCACAAUUAGUGGUGGGGUAUUGCCACUAAAUGACAAUAUCCCAACAAUCACCCCCUUUGCCAUUUGUGUGGGCAAUUGUCCUUUUGCUUCUUCAGCACAAGCUUGCAUUUUGCAGCUCUUCCAAGCUUCCAUUCUGAGAGCGUCUUCAACACAACAUUCCCCUUCGAGCAUAUCAACCAUACUCGGUCCGGAAUGAUUUUUCUAGCCUUACACCAAGGCUUGCAACACCCCCUCAAACAAAUAUUUUCAAGUGCGACAGUCAUUGAGUAUUUCAAUGUGAUCACAAGCUCACCACUCUUCCAAGAGUCUACUCAUCCAGGAGUUGCGCCUGCCCUCUGUUCCACCCUAGGAACCACGCCUUACUUCUCCGUGAGUCUCUCGCUCUUAGUCGUAAGAGUCCAGGUAGCUCUCCACCUUUAACCAUGGGGGCAGCCCAUAAAGGUUGAUCCAUAUCUAUCUUCAUACUCUGAGUAUUACAAUGCCAUUACCGAGCUCACCACCUUGACAAGAGUCAACUCGUUCUCGGAACCUGCGCAUGCCCUUCUGCUUCUUCAUAGCAGCCACGUCUUAAUGCUCCACAAGUCACACACUUAUUGUCCAAGGCAAAUGUCUUCUAGCUCAUUGAUCUUUAGCAUGGGGGCAAUAUCCAUGAAAGUCAAUCCUGCAUUUGUCUCCAUACUCAUCAUAGCCACUUCAUUGGCUAUACACCUGUCCACUCAUAUCUAGCCAUCACAUUGGCUCUGGGGCGUUCUGAACUAGGCUCAUAUCAUGGCCCACACACCUUCUCCUCAGGUGUCUCCGCUCGUCGUCAUGCGGCGGUCUGAAUUGGGGCUCCUCUAAUGGCCCUCACACCUUCUCUAAGGUGUCUUCGCCCGUUAUCAUAGGGCGGUCUGAACUGGGGCUCCUCUCAUAGCCCUCACACCUUCUCUACGGUGUCUUCGCCCGUUGUCAUGGGGCGGUCGCAUCCUCCUUCAGCUGAGAUGCUUUAAAGUGGCUCCAAAAUUCUCUACCACCAUGUGCACUAUGGGAGAGAUUACUGCCACUAACUACAUAGAAAGAGAAAGUUGCGGUAUACUUCUCGCAAUCCUCCACCUCAAUUUCUAUGUUUGGAGCUUCUGUGCCUUUCUGCUUGACAGCUCCACCUACACCAACUCUCUUUGGUGUCUUCGCCUUUCAUCAUAGGCGGUUGCCUUGUAUCACAGGCAUUUGCACCCCCUCAAUUAGGUGCCUCUGCAACAGCUCUCUUUCCAUCCUUGCAUGCAUUGGAAAGGUCUUCGCAUGUUGUCUUCAUUAAGAGCACAAGAGACUUCCUGUUGUACAAACUUUAACAGUCUCUGCUCUGAGCUUCAUCUGGGAACACUUCUUCUCCUUGCACCUGUUGUCUCAUUACAGUACCUCGUUGAAUCUUACGGGUACUCAUGCACAAUCUCCGUGUGCCCUCGUGCAUUUUCUGUUCUCCAGAAUUUCUCCCUAUUCCUUGCUUAUGUUUGACAGCAGCUCAUCCUGUCACAACACCUGUCCAAGUCAAAAUAGGGUGCCAAUCUUUAUCCCCUUGCUGUAUUCCUCUUCCAUUAUCAGGGUCUUCAUCAAUUCUUCCCUUGAGAAAUCACAGUCACCGAAUCUAACUUCUUUGGAGAAAUCACCACUUCAUCAGAUCCUUGAUCAUACGGAACCCAACUGUUCCCUUGUGCCGUCGUCCUGCUAGUCUUCAACCGUUUCAUUACAAAUUGCUAUAUAUACGAAAAUAGUACCGUAUGGAUAAUCCUUCCACUAAGCAAGUUCCCAGGAAAGAUUGGAGGGGUCACACUGGUCCCGCUUAAAACCCAAUCUCCUAGACAGAACUUCUUAGGCCAUAUCUAUCCAUCGUACUGUCUUUCCGUAUAUACAACCAUUUGCUAGCUUUGUUGCGGCUUUCCUUUACAAGUGAUCUGGAAUAUACUGGUUUAAUACAUGAUUUUUCAACAUCUAGCGAGACUACCAGUUCUUAGACUCGUCAAGAUUGGUCUUCAUCAGUUUCACUCUCCACCUCAAAUUGUCCACAUAACUGGGUGUCUAGAGUGUCCCAAUUUUGCCUUCCUUCAAGGCAGUUAAAUUUCUCCCCACUUAGCAGUUCAGCACAUGCAAUUGGGUAAACAUGUGCACCUUCUUCUUCUUCAUCUCCAUUGACCACCAUGAUGACCUUCAGAUGCCUCCUGAUCGAGCAAUCUCUUUUGUUAAUUCACCACCACCACUUUCAGUCUCAAAUCUCAAUGAUCGGACCGUACCAUUGCAUCCGGAAUGAUCAAAUUAGCUGGAAACAAGUCUGAAAUCGUCCAAAUCGCACUUCAGACGGCUAAGAUUUGAUCAAAACAAUUCUGGCCUGAUCAAUGGCUCAGAUUCAAUCUCAGACCCGGUUGCACGUAGGAUCAACUACACUGGAUCCUGUCCCUCGGCUCGCGGCUCGGCUCGGCUUCAAAACGGCUCGGCUCAACUCGGCUCAACUCGGCUCGGCUCGCGGCUGAUGAUGUGGCAGGUGGGUCCCACUGUGAUGACGUGUCUGCUGACUGGUCGAUGAUAUGGCUGCUGACAUGGCAUGCUUACUGUGCAUGCUUACAUCACACUUACAUCAGGCUGAUGUCAUCCCUGGCAUGCCUACUGUGCAUGCUGACAUCACAAUUAUGUCAUGCUGACGUCAUUCAUAUCCGGGUCAGCCAUGUGGGUCGGGUCAACUGGUAUUCGGGUCGGGUCAGCCCAUCCGGGCGAAGAAGACGCGUGGGGCGCGUCUGCGCGCGUGGGCAGACGCCUUGCCGGAGAGUGAUGGAGAGUGCGGCCAUGUCCGACGUCCGAUUUUGACGCCGUUUUCACCAGUGGCUUCGUCUCGGCCUCCUCUACACAGUGGUAUGGUCAAAACACCAUUUUGAGAACUUUCAUUUUUGAGCAAAAAUCAAACACCCCUUUAAACCAUGUGCUCUGAUACCAAUUGUUGGGGAAUUUCCGGCUCCCCCAUGCUCGGACCGGGGAUGUUCUGAUACUUGCUCAUCGGAGGGUUAAAACACACUGACACAAUAUUUUACGUGGUUCGGCAAAACCGCCUACAUCCACGGGAGAGAGAGUCCAUAUUAUUUAGAGAUAGAGAAAGGAUACAAUAAAUACAUGGAGGAGGAUCACUCAACUCCCAGCUCACACACCCUGCUGCAUAUGGCAGCAGGGCUGCUGCCCAUGGCAGCAACUCCUCUUUCUCUUCUUCUCUUCACGUUCUCACACACUCUCACUUCUCUCACACACACUCUCACAAAACAUGCCUCUUUUAUAGGCAAUUCUUGGCAACCUUCUCCAGCAAUAGCAAGGGGACAAUAGGUCCCGAAAUCAUGCCACUAAUUGUGGCAUUAGUGAUGCUUCCACUAAGCCACAAUUAGUGGUGGGGUAUUGCCACUAAAUGACAAUAUCCCAACAGUUUAUGCAUCCAGAGUCUUGGCAACUUGCAUGGAGUCAAGGACAAAAAAUAUAUAGUUUUUUGGCUUUCUGUCAAUCUAGAUCAUCAUUGGAAGAUGAUAACUUAGCUAUUGGUGGAUCAACGUUAAGAACUAAUGCUGAGAUCAUGAAUAAUUUUUAUUUUAUAAAGGUAAUGGAUCUGAUUUAAGAGAUAACACCUGUAUUAAGAACAUAAAUACAUUUAUUUAUGUGCGAUUCUAUUAUUGAACAUAAAUAGAUUUGGGAUUGUUUGUAAAUAUUGACGGGUUAUUUUUUGAAUUAUUUUUUAUUUAUAAAUAUAUUAAAAUUAUUUUUUAUUUAUUUUUAAAAAUUAUUUUUAGUAUAAACUAAUCAAAAUAAUUUUAAAAUAAAAAAAAAUAAAUUUUAAUAAAACAGUGGUUGCACUACUCCUACUCUCCUGGGAUGUAUUGUGUCGUGUCCGCACAGAAAACUCUCUGCAUUCCAUUUAUAAGGUCACAUGGAGUCACGUGUAGUCGAGCGGGUCCCAUGAUGGGGUCCAUCAAAAUUAAGUUGAGAAAAAACAAAAAACAAAAAAAACAAAACCGGGUGAGUUUCCUAGCUUCAAUUAGAUGCUUAGUCACAUCAACAAAUAUUUGAAGACAAAUUCUAGAAGGUAGCAAGGCUAAAGCAUUAGCCAGCAUAGAAAAGAAUAACUUUUUUCUUUUUUUUAAUAAGCCAAUAGUUCAAGAGUGAUUAAGGAAGUGCAAGGCUAGCUGGCAGCUGUCGGACGAGCUCAUCCUUCUCUGUGGCCAUUUGUCAUUAAGCAUUAGGCCAGCUAGAAAGGUUAUGACAUGUGGAUCCGGAUUGACAGAAUUAUGCCACCUGUAUAUUUAUCACUUUCGCACGGAUAAAAGGGAAACUCCGCCCACUAAUUUACAAAUAAAUUACUUCCUCUUCGUAAACUUUAUUGCAUUUACAACGUGUACUAAAAAAUUAGGUCUACAGUAGCAAGAAAAAUCCCAUCCUCGAAUUUAUUUUUUUCAAUUACGACAUUUUAUGCCUAAAUAAAUAAUUAAUUUGUCAAAAUUUGUUAAGAAGAGUCAAGUGAUAAUUUUUGUUUUUUAGAUUUUAAAGAAGUUUAUUGUGUGUUUUUAGAUAUAAAUUAGUUGAAAUUUGAUGUUUAGUUUAAAAAUAAAGCCUAAACUUUUUUACCACUAUUGUGAUAGUCAGGUUAUAGGCAACAAAUGUUACUUCAUCUACAAAAACAUGUGACGCGUCAUUUGCUUACUUUUCUUUUAAAAAAAAAAGGUCACUCGUCCUUUAAAAAAAAGAAUUAUUCUAUGCAUGCAUAUAUGUGUUGGUAGGCCAAUGUGUAUGGGCUUUUUAAGACCUAGAUGCACUGGAUCGAACGAGAAGUAGCAUUAAAUUGAAGAUUUAACAGAGAAUAGAGGGUUAGAUUAAAAGAAUUAUUUUGUGAAAUAGAUCAGCACAAAAUAAUCAAAUUGAAAAAAAAUAAACAAGGUAAAAAAAUAAAAAUUAAAAAAACCAAUUUCUUCACGUGAAUCCACUGUGCAAUUAAGGCUGAGAGUGACUAGAGAUGCAACAGUGGAUUUCCUAGGAAAUUAGUUUUUCUUUUCCUGCCUUGAAUGUUUCGGGUGCCACGUGGAAGGGUUUUUUUUUUUUUUCCUAACCUUCUAAUUAGAAAAUUUAAAAAGAAGUCGCUACCACUAUGAAUUUAAUGUCAAUUUUAAAUAUAAAAUAUAAAGGUUGUUAUUAAUGAUAAACUAUAUUAUAUUUUUCAGUGCUUACCGUAAAACUUCAAAACCCUCUCUUUAAUUUCUCAAGGUAGCUUUUUGUAAUACUAAACAAACGUGUGUCCUUUUUUCCCAUGUAUAACUAUCGUUCUUCUGUCCUAGAAGAAACCAGGGAUCGUUUUGUAAACUAAUUGAAAAAAAAAAUCAAUCUUAGAGCGAAGAUUUUUUCCUUGCUGGUAUAUGUAUUUGUAGCAUAAAUUACAAGCUAAUUUACGCGAUAUUUUAUCUGCAAUAGUCAAUAUAUAUUAAAGUUUGAGGUUGUAUUUGAGUUGUUCUUGAUUUAUAAAUUUUAAAAUAACGAAUUCAUAUAGUUUUAUAAUAGCAAAAUUUAUUUUCUUUUUAAAUUCUUUAUAGCUUGACAAAUUAUUUAUCAUUUUACGAACACCAUUAACUCUUCAUCUUAAUUUUCUCACUUGACUUAUCACUCUUUUUCCACCUUCCAAGUGUCAUCUUCAAAAUCCCCAGUCAAUAUCUCUUUCUUGAUGCAACUCUAUUCUAGAAAUACGUAACCUACCCUUACAAUUAAUUAUACGUGUGAAGGGAGUCUACCCUUACAAUAUCUCUUUUUUAUUUUUAUUAUUAUCAUUAAUUCAAACCAUUUUCUUUUAUUAUCACGCUACACAUGAAUUUAUUUUUUUAACAUGGAUGUUCAGGCUGACUUACACAUAUCUCAACUAAUUUUAUGAAUAUUAAAGCUAACAACCAUAUAAACUUUCAAUAACUAUUAUAUUAAUAAUCACAAAACUCGAAAUUGAUAUUAGAAAAAACAUUAACAUUUUCGUUGCUAAAAAAAGACCAGUUAUUUAACAUGUAUAGCACAAAUGUCACAUCUUCUUCUAUUCUUACAUAGUUAUUUUUAAAAUAAAAUAGUUAUUUAAAUUGAAUCUAUAUUUUUUUUUAUAUUUCACUUUUCACAACACAAUAAAAUGAUUUCUUUGUCUUUAAUAUCAAGAUUUUUUUACAUUGUCUCUGGUGGCUUCUUUAUAUUUUUGUUUUUGUUUUUUUUAUGAUUAUUAUAUAAUUUUAGAGGAAAAUUUUGUGUUUGAAUAAAUAUAAAAAACUUAAAAAUAAAAUGUUGUUAGCAUAUUGUACAUUAAAGGUGCUAAUGAAUAAACAAAUUCAUCGUGUUUAAAAAAAAACAAUCAAAUCAUAGGAUGCUAAGAGUAUUUACCUUUAAUUUUUUUAAAAAAAAAUUCUACAUUUUUUUUUCUAUUUUGUUUACUUCUGUCAAAGAACCAUAUCAACCAAAUAGCUUAAACUAUUAGGUGAGGUCUCAGAAUAUGAUUUAUAUUAUUCUCUAACACACCCCCUCAAGUGAAAGCUUUUUAGGCUUGAAACUUGCACAGACCCACAUUAUCUUGUGCUUAAUUUUUAUCAAAUAAAUGGAGAUGGCGAGAUUCGAACUUGUGACCGCUUGGUCAUCAAGGCUCUGAUACCAUGUCAAAGAAUCAUCUCAACUCAAUAGCUUAAGUUGUUAGAUGAGGUCCUAGGAUAUGAUUUAUAUUAUUCUCAAACAACUUCGAUAAAGUUUUUUAAAUUUAUAUUUUUUAAUGAUUUUACCGUUCAAUAUUGAAUUGAGUUUCUUGAUUGAACUCAAGUCUAUGAUUUAACAAGUUAUAAAUUUAGGAGAUUUAUUCAAGUUUAUUUUUUUUCUUUUUUAGCUCAUGUAUUUGUUUUUCAAUUUUAUCCUUUAAUAUUUUUUUUCUAUAGGAUUUUUCACUAAUUCUGAAAAUAACAUAGGUUAUCUCGAGUAUUUUUAUUUUUUAUUUUUUAAAAAAAUUAUCUUUUUUAAAAAAUAAAUUUUGAUUUUGAAUUAAAUUAAUUUCUUAAAUAUAAACAUGUCAUGCUACUCCAUGAUGUUUUUGUUUUCUUAAAUAUAGCUUUUUUGAGUUAUUUUUUUUAAUUGAUUGGUUUUUAUUAUUAUUAUUAUUAGGCUUCAAUAUUCUAAAAUUAUACUUGUUUUUACCGUAUUAGCAUUAGAGUGUAUCAAAACUUUUUAAAACGUAAAAAAAAUAUUAACAAUUAUAGAAAGUAAACUCAUGAGUGAGAAAAAAAGUUAGAAAUCAUCCCACGUGCUGAGAUCGCGUUAAACAAUGGUCCUCGUCUUCCAGGAUAAUUAAUGCUGAUGUAUUAAAUAUUAGGCGUCACUUGCGUUCGAAGCUGGAAAAGUAAAUGAUAUUUGAUAAUCAAACUAGCCAGAGACCGUGACCUUUUACAACCAAUAAACUUGGCAAAUUAUAUCUUGAUAUUAUCUUCUGUUCAGCAGCAUAUCAUAGUGGGUUGGGUGCUUCAACAGGCAACAGCCUCCUUCAAAUUUGAGAAAGAAGGUUAGCCAUCGAUGGACGUGAAGUGCACCUGGCCAGUAAAGGCUGAGCCUUGGGCAUACUGAGUCCAGUCCCCUCUGUCAGGUCCACCAUUUCCUGGCUAACCCUGUCCCAUUCGAAACACUGAAGUAAUGACCCCAGAGUCAAUCCAGCCAUGCGCAUGGCCAAACCUUCCCCAGGACAACUCCUCCUUCCUGAUCCGAAAGGCAUCAGUUUGAACCCAUCUCUAACUCCCUCGGAACCGUCGAACCUUUCUGGCUUAAAUUUUGCUGCGUCGUCCCAGAUUUUAGGAUCAUUCUGUAUUGCCCAUAUGUUCACCAACAACAUGGUGCCGCGUGGUAUCUGGAACCCUCCUACCACACACUCCUCUGAUGACUCGUGAGGCACUAGCAAUGGGCCUACUGGGUACAUUCGCAUAGUUUCCUUUAUGACGCAGUGUAGAUAAGGGAGCUUAGCCACAUCAGAUUCAUCAAUUAGACGAUCUUGUCCAACAACCUUGUCAAUUUCAUUUUGUGCUUUCUUUAAAAUCAGAGGAUUGUUCAGCAGAAGUGACAAUGCCCACUCCACUGUCCCAGCUGUAGUAUCUGUCCCGGCAGACAGUAGAACCUGCAGCAUAUACGUGAAUUAAAGAAUUAGUGCAUGAAUUCGGACUCCUCAUGAACAGUGGCUGCUAAAUUGUGUGCGCCUUGCUCUUUGAUCAAUAUAUAAAAAUUAAAAUUAAAAUUAAAAUUAAAAUAAAUAGAAGAAAAAAUCAUUAAUUCUAGGACUCUAAUGAGGAAAUAACUUGAAAGUACUAAAAUUAAUGAGAAACUUUUCCCGUCAUUUUUCAUUCUAUAAGACAAUUAAGCCCACCUUCUAAUUCUUCUUGUUUUAUUUUUUGGUAGAUUGUCUCUGAAAGUGAAAUUUAACGCCACCCAGUUCUCACUGUUAGAAGACAGGGAUCUUACCACCAUAAGGUCCUUGAUAGUUUCAUCCUUAUAGUACUCAGGUUCUGAUUCUUGCAGUGUUAGCAAAACCUCAAUCAUGGUCUUGUAAUUUCUCUCAUUAGAAAAACAGCUCUUGUUAUUCCCCAUUCUUCUCCUAGGCUCAUCCACCAACUCUUG
RNAcentral lists this long non-coding RNA (15634 nucleotides) under Populus trichocarpa (black cottonwood). RNAcentral's name for it is "long non-coding RNA (PTRI_LNC000637)". The record is from RNAcentral. Lineage: Eukaryota; Viridiplantae; Streptophyta; Magnoliopsida; Malpighiales; Salicaceae.